Molecule: ribosomal RNA, 484 nt
Filed under: uncultured bacterium
Lineage: Bacteria
Description: partial 16S ribosomal RNA
Rfam family: Bacterial small subunit ribosomal RNA
Source: RNAcentral
AUUGAACGCUGGCGGCAGGCCUAACACAUGCAAGUCGAGCGGAUGAAGGGAGCUUGCUCCUGGCUUCAGCGGCGGACGGGUGAGUAAUGCCUAGGAAUCUGCCUUGUCUUUGGGGAUAACGUCCGGACACGGGCGCUAAUACCGCAUACGUCCUGAUGGAGAAAGUGGGGGAUCUUCGGACCUCACGCUAUCAGAUGAGCCUAGGUCGGAUUAGCUAGUUGGUGGGGUAAAGGCCUACCAAGGCGACGAUCCGUAACUGGUCUGAGAGGAUGAUCAGUCACACUGGAACUGAGACACGGUCCAGACUCCUACGGGAGGCAGCAGUGGGGAAUAUUGGACAAUGGGCGAAAGCCUGAUCCAGCCAUGCCGCGUGUGUGAAGAAGGUCUUCGGAUUGUAAAGCACUUUAAGUUGGGAGGAAGGGCAGUAAGUUAAUACCUUGCUGUUUUGACGGUACCAACAGAAUAAGCACCGGCUAACUUCGUG